Molecule: ribosomal RNA, 460 nt
Filed under: uncultured bacterium
Lineage: Bacteria
Description: partial 16S ribosomal RNA
Rfam family: Bacterial small subunit ribosomal RNA
Source: RNAcentral
CCUACGGGAGGCAGCAGUGAGGAAUAUUGGUCAAUGGGCGGGAGCCUGAACCAGCCAAGUCGCGUGAGGGAAGACGGUCCUAUGGAUUGUAAACCUCUUUAGGCGGGGAGCAAUGCCGGGCACGCGUGCCCGGAGGGAGAGUACCCGCAGAAUAAGCAUCGGCUAACUCCGUGCCGGCAGCCGCGGUAAUAAGGAGGAUGCGAGCGUUAUCCGGAUUUAUUGGGUUUAAAGGGUGCGUAGGCGGAUUUUUAAGUCAGCGGUAAAAUGUCCGGGCUCAACCCGGGCCGGCCGUUGAAACUGGGGAUCUUGAGUGGGCGAGAAGUAUGCGGAAUGCGUGGUGUAGCGGUGAAAUGCAUAGAUAUCACGCAGAACUCCGAUUGCGAAGGCAGCAUACCGGCGCCCGACUGACGCUGAGGCACGAAAGCGUGGGGAUCGAACAGGAUGAGAUACCCGAGUAGUC